Molecule: ribosomal RNA, 775 nt
Filed under: uncultured Neocallimastigales
Lineage: Eukaryota; Fungi; Neocallimastigomycota; Neocallimastigomycetes; Neocallimastigales
Description: partial large subunit ribosomal RNA
Rfam family: Eukaryotic large subunit ribosomal RNA
Source: RNAcentral
UAGAUGCGAGAGUAGAGCAUAUCAAUAAGCGGAGGAAAAGAAACUAACAAGGAUUCCCUUAGUAACGGCGAGUGAAGCGGGAAGAGCUCAAAUUUGAAAUCUUCAAGGUUCUACCUUGACGAAUUGUAGUUUAUAGAAGUGUUUUCUGUUAGUAGAGUGGCAAAAGUUCUUUGGAAUAGGACAUCAUAGAGGGUGAGAAUCCCGUAUUUGGUCAUUCUCUCUAGCUUUGUGAUACACUUUCAACGAGUCGGAUUGUUUGGGAAUGCAGUCCAAAAUGGGUGGUAAACUUCAUCUAAAGCUAAAUAUUGGCGAGAGACCGAUAGCGAACAAGUACCGUGAGGGAAAGAUGAAAAGAACUUUGAAAAGAGAGUUAAACAGUACGUGAAAUUGUCAAAAGGGAAGCGUUUGACACCAGUGUUGUUUUUCUCGAAAAUCAAUUACAAAUGAUUGGAUUUUGAGAAGUUAUGACUUCAUCGGCUUGCUUCUCUCUUUAUGAAACUUUCUUAAUGCACUUUUCGGUUAACAAGUCAACAUCAAUUUCUUUUGUUGUAAAAGGGUAUGAGGAAGGUGGCUUUCUUUUCGGAGAAAGUGUUUAUAGCCUUGUACCUCUGCAAUCGGAGAGAUUGAGGUCUGCAGCGUAGAUCCUUCGGGGUUAGAUACAUUUGUGCUAAGUUAUAGCUUUUCAUAGACAACUUGUUGACUAUGUUUAGUCUUGUAGCUUACUCGCUUAUGCUAUUUUACCUACGCUUAGGAUGUUGACACACGCGCGUGCUCG